UUUUAGGGGAAGGUGUGGUGUAAAGGAUGUUCCGCCUAUUAAUUUACUUUUAUUAUGUUGGUGUAUAUCUGGUUUAAUAUUAUUGUUGAAUAAUAUUAGUUUGUGUAAUUUUAUUAGUUAAGCCAAGUCUAUGUGCUGCUUAUAGAAGUAUUCAUGCGUUACUUUAAUAAAGUUUUAGUUGUAAGUACUAUCAUAUUCAGGACUUAAAAGUAAUGUUAAAUUAGUUUGUUAAUGUGAAAUAAGUUUAGCUCAUG
RNAcentral lists this ribosomal RNA (254 nucleotides) under Taenia multiceps. RNAcentral's name for it is "partial 12S ribosomal RNA". The record is from RNAcentral. Lineage: Eukaryota; Metazoa; Platyhelminthes; Cestoda; Cyclophyllidea; Taeniidae.